RNAcentral lists this ribosomal RNA (1530 nucleotides) under Escherichia coli O104:H4 str. 11-4632 C5. RNAcentral's name for it is "bacterial SSU rRNA". It matches the Rfam family "Bacterial small subunit ribosomal RNA". The record is from RNAcentral. Lineage: Bacteria; Pseudomonadati; Pseudomonadota; Gammaproteobacteria; Enterobacterales; Enterobacteriaceae.
AGAGUUUGAUCAUGGCUCAGAUUGAACGCUGGCGGCAGGCCUAACACAUGCAAGUCGAACGGUAACAGGAAACAGCUUGCUGUUUCGCUGACGAGUGGCGGACGGGUGAGUAAUGUCUGGGAAACUGCCUGAUGGGGGGGGAUAACUACUGGAAACGGUAGCUAAUACCGCAUAACGUCGCAAGACCAAAGAGGGGGACCUUCGGGCCUCUUGCCAUCGGAUGUGCCCAGAUGGGAUUAGCUUGUUGGUGGGGUAACGGCUCACCAAGGCGACGAUCCCUAGCUGGUCUGAGAGGAUGACCAGCCACACUGGAACUGAGACACGGUCCAGACUCCUACGGGAGGCAGCAGUGGGGAAUAUUGCACAAUGGGCGCAAGCCUGAUGCAGCCAUGCCGCGUGUAUGAAGAAGGCCUUCGGGUUGUAAAGUACUUUCAGCGGGGAGGAAGGGAGUAAAGUUAAUACCUUUACUCAUUGACGUUACCCGCAGAAGAAGCACCGGCUAACUCCGUGCCAGCAGCCGCGGUAAUACGGAGGGUGCAAGCGUUAAUCGGAAUUACUGGGCGUAAAGCGCACGCAGGCGGUUUGUUAAGUCAGAUGUGAAAUCCCCGGGCUCAACCUGGGAACUGCAUCUGAUACUGGCAAGCUUGAGUCUCGUAGAGGGGGGUAGAAUUCCAGGUGUAGCGGUGAAAUGCGUAGAGAUCUGGAGGAAUACCGGUGGCGAAGGCGGCCCCCUGGACGAAGACUGACGCUCAGGUGCGAAAGCGUGGGGAGCAAACAGGAUUAGAUACCCUGGUAGUCCACGCCGUAAACGAUGUCGACUUGGAGGUUGUGCCCUUGAGGCGUGGCUUCCGGAGCUAACGCGUUAAGUCGACCGCCUGGGGAGUACGGCCGCAAGGUUAAAACUCAAAUGAAUUGACGGGGGCCCGCACAAGCGGUGGAGCAUGUGGUUUAAUUCGAUGCAACGCGAAGAACCUUACCUGGUCUUGACAUCCACGGAACUUUCCAGAGAUGAGAAUGUGCCUUCGGGAACCGUGAGACAGGUGCUGCAUGGCUGUCGUCAGCUCGUGUUGUGAAAUGUUGGGUUAAGUCCCGCAACGAGCGCAACCCUUAUCCUUUGUUGCCAGCGGUCCGGCCGGGAACUCAAAGGAGACUGCCAGUGAUAAACUGGAGGAAGGUGGGGAUGACGUCAAGUCAUCAUGGCCCUUACGACCAGGGCUACACACGUGCUACAAUGGCGCAUACAAAGAGAAGCGACCUCGCGAGAGCAAGCGGACCUCAUAAAGUGCGUCGUAGUCCGGAUUGGAGUCUGCAACUCGACUCCAUGAAGUCGGAAUCGCUAGUAAUCGUGGAUCAGAAUGCCACGGUGAAUACGUUCCCGGGCCUUGUACACACCGCCCGUCACACCAUGGGAGUGGGUUGCAAAAGAAGUAGGUAGCUUAACCUUCGGGAGGGCGCUUACCACUUUGUGAUUCAUGACUGGGGUGAAGUCGUAACAAGGUAACCGUAGGGGAACCUGCGGUUGGAUCACCU